Molecule: long non-coding RNA, 268 nt
Filed under: Elaeis guineensis (African oil palm)
Lineage: Eukaryota; Viridiplantae; Streptophyta; Magnoliopsida; Arecales; Arecaceae
Description: long non-coding RNA (EGUI_LNC045612)
Source: RNAcentral
AUGUUGAGAUAUCAUUAUCACUGGUAAUAGUCCUUCUCAUAUCUUCAUGCUCAUCAUCGAGUUAAGCUUCUAUUUUAAACUAAAUAUGCUAUUGACCUCCUUGAACGGACUGAUAUGCUUGGAUGCAAAUCUAUUAGCUCUCUAGUUGCUUGCUUCAACCAAGUUAGGCUGCACCACGAGUUUCUUAUUAUAUGAUCCAACUCGCUAUCAUAGCAUUGCCGGUGCUUUGCAAUGUCUUACCCUUAUCAGACUAGAUCUCUCCUUUACA